This 468-nucleotide ribosomal RNA is filed under the name uncultured bacterium. RNAcentral's name for it is "partial 16S ribosomal RNA". It matches the Rfam family "Bacterial small subunit ribosomal RNA", at positions 28 to 507 of the family's 1533-position model. The record is from RNAcentral.
GACGAACGCUGGCGGCGUGCUUAACACAUGCAAGUCGAACGGAAAGGCCCUGCUCUUGUGGGGUGCUCGAGUGGCGAACGGGUGAGUAACACGUGAGUAACCUGCCCUUGACUUUGGGUUAACUUCAGGAAACUGGGGCUAAUACCGGAUAGGAGCUCCUGCUGCAUGGUGGGGGUUGGAAAGUUUCGGCGGUUGGGGAUGGACUCGCGGCUUAUCAGCUUGUUGGUGGGGUAGUGGCUUACCAAGGCUUUGACGGGUAGCCGGCCUGAGAGGGUGACCGGCCACAUUGGGACUGAGAUACGGCCCAGACUCCUACGGGAGGCAGCAGUGGGGAAUAUUGCACAAUGGGCGGAAGCCUGAUGCAGCAACGCCGCGUGCGGGAUGACGGCCUUCGGGUUGUAAACCGCUUUCGCCUGUGACGAAGCGUGAGUGACGGUAAUGGGUAAAGAAGCACCGGCUAACUACGUG